AAAAUCCAAUUGAAAAAUCGUGAGGGUUCAAGUCCCUCUAUCCCCA
Molecule: transfer RNA, 46 nt
Filed under: Hemipilia keiskei
Lineage: Eukaryota; Viridiplantae; Streptophyta; Magnoliopsida; Asparagales; Orchidaceae
Also listed under: 1 other name
Description: Ponerorchis keiskei partial tRNA-Leu
Source: RNAcentral